This 484-nucleotide ribosomal RNA is filed under the name uncultured bacterium. RNAcentral describes it as "bacterial SSU rRNA". It matches the Rfam family "Bacterial small subunit ribosomal RNA", at positions 30 to 507 of the family's 1533-position model. The record is from RNAcentral.
AUUGAACGCUGGCGGCAUGCCUUACACAUGCAAGUCGAACGGCAGCGGGGACUUCGGUCCGCCGGCGAGUGGCGAACGGGUGAGUAAUGUAUCGGAACGUACCUUUCAGUGGGGGAUAACGUAGCGAAAGUUACGCUAAUACCGCAUAUUUUGUGAGCCGGAAAGCAGGGGAUCGCAAGACCCUGCGCUGAUUGAGCGGCCGAUAUCAGAUUAGCUAGUUGGUGGGGUAAAGGCCUACCAAGGCUACGAUUUGUAGCGGGUUUGAGAGGAUGAUUCGCCCCCCUGGGACUGAGACCCGGCCCCGACUCCUACGGGAGGCAGCCGUGGGGAAUUUUGGACAAUGGGGGCAACCCUGAUCCAGCCCUGCCGCGUGAGUGAAGAAGGCCUUCGGGUUGUAAAGCUCUUUCGGCCGGGAAGAAAUCGCAUCAGCUAAUACCUGGUGUGGAUGACGGUACCGGAAUAAGAAGCCCCGGCUAACUACGUG